GCAUACCCAACCCAAAUCCCAUCCCCAUACCCAUCCCUAAACUCAUUGGGGAGAAAUGUGGCAUCUGGGCUCCAUGCAUGUGCUGCAUAGGGAACAUCAUUGGCGGGACGCAAAGCCCUGCUCCCACAGACAUUAUCUGUACUUGCAGUUGAAGUGUCUUCAAAUAUUCAAUAGCUUCAUCAAGCAUCGAAGCUUUAUCCGCCUUGUUGCAGUUGGGUAUAAGUUCCUGUAAUGCACGCAUCUUCUCAUUAAUCCUAUCCCUUCGCCUCCGCUCAGAUAAAUUAUGCACCUCUGCAGCUCGGCUUCUCUUUGAACCUGUACCUCCUCGAGCAGCACAAGGUUUUUUUAUACCAACAGAUUCUUCUUCAACAUCUUCACUUCGACACUCA
This 389-nucleotide unclassified non-coding RNA is filed under the name Hevea brasiliensis (rubber tree). Lineage: Eukaryota; Viridiplantae; Streptophyta; Magnoliopsida; Malpighiales; Euphorbiaceae. The record is from RNAcentral.